AAAGUCGCGCAUGCUUCAGGUGUCCCGACGGUGUCUUCCCGAGGGAUGAAAUGGGAAGCCGGUGCAUCUGGCCUGUCUUGCAGGCCAUGACCAUCCCGGCGCUGCCCCCGCAACGGUAAACGAGAGCAAGGAUCUGCAGUAAGCCACUGUGCCAGUGCACGGGAAGGCUCAGGUUCAGGGAGACUUCCUCGCUCGUGAGCCCGGAGACCGGCCUGAGACAUGCGAAUCGG
This 230-nucleotide non-coding RNA is filed under the name Candidatus Accumulibacter. The record is from RNAcentral. Lineage: Bacteria; Pseudomonadati; Pseudomonadota; Betaproteobacteria.